UAAAAGUUUUAAUCUAGCUAAGAAAAUUGAUUAGUAUAUUAAUAUUACAUGUAAAUUUUAGUACUUAUAUAUAAAUAAUUUAAUAUUGAUUAUAUAACUAUAUUCGCAGUAUUUAAUUUUAAACAUUGAAGUAGUCUUUGAUUUAGAAAUAUACUUUAAUAUUAACUAAAUUUGUGCCAGCAGUUGCGGUUAUACAAAUAAUAUAAUUAAUUUUUUUUUUAGUAAAUAAUUAAUUUAAAUAAUAAAAAUAUAAAAUUAAAUUUAUUAAGUGGAAUUUUAAAUUUUUAAAAUUUUUAUAAUAUAUAAUGAAGUUAUUAAAUUUUGGGCUAAACUAGGAUUAGAUACCCUAUUAUUUAAAAUGUAAAAAAAAUAUACUAGAUUAUUAUUAGUUAUGUUCUUUAAAAUUAAAGAUUUUGGCGGUAUUUUAGUCUUUUCAGAGGAACCUGUUCUAUAAUUGAUAUUCCACGAUUUAUUUUACUUGAUUUAAUUAGUUUAUAUAUCGUCGUAGUUUGAAUAUUUUAAAAGAAUUUUAAUAUUCAAAAUUUUUUAUAAUAAAGGAAAUCAGAUCAAGGUGUAGCUUAUAAUCAAGGAGAAAUGGGUUACAAUAAAUUUAUUUAAAUGGAUUAAUAUUUUAAAAAUAUUAUAAAAGUGGAUUUGAAAGUAUUCUGAUUAAAUUUAAUUAGAAGAUUUUAGCUCUAAAAUAUGCACAUAUCGCCCGUCGCUCUCAUUUAAAUUGAGAUAAGUCGUAACAAAGUAGGCGUACUGGAAAGUGUGCCUAGUAA
This 782-nucleotide non-coding RNA is filed under the name Tachinus subterraneus. Lineage: Eukaryota; Metazoa; Arthropoda; Insecta; Coleoptera; Staphylinidae. The record is from RNAcentral.